GCCGCGAGGUGGAGCGAAUCUCCAAAAAUUGUCCCAGUUCAGAUUGCAGGCUGCAACUCGCCUGCAUGAAGUCGGAAUUGCUAGUAAUCGUGGAUCAGCAUGCCACGGUGAAUACGUUCCCGGGCCUUGUACACACCGCCCGUCACACCAUGGGAGUCGGUAACACCCGAAGCCUGUAGUCUAACCGCAAGGAGGACGCAGUCGAAGGUGGGAUUGAUGACUGGGGUGAAGUCGUAACAAGGUACC
This 246-nucleotide ribosomal RNA is filed under the name uncultured bacterium. RNAcentral describes it as "partial 16S ribosomal RNA". It matches the Rfam family "Bacterial small subunit ribosomal RNA", at positions 1254 to 1500 of the family's 1533-position model. The record is from RNAcentral.